Molecule: long non-coding RNA, 876 nt
Filed under: Pan troglodytes (chimpanzee)
Lineage: Eukaryota; Metazoa; Chordata; Mammalia; Primates; Hominidae
Description: lincRNA
Source: RNAcentral
AAGCCGCCACCGCCGCCGCCGCCGCUGCAUGGCACUAGGCUCCCGGCGGGGCAGGUUCCGCAGCCGGCACCGCUCUGGCUAGGCGCACGGAGGCGCCUUGCUUAGCCUGACCCUUAUUUGGCCAGGCGUAAAACUUGUCCUGCCUAAAAGCUUGCUGAGACCUCCUAACUGGUCUAAUCCGCGGGAGACGCCAAAGGCGGCGGCCGUUUGUGCGCACAGGAUUUUUCUUGGAGCUGUAGCAGUCUAGGAAGCCAGGGUGGAACUUUUGCUAAGCUCCCGUUGUAAGCCCAGAGCUGUAAUAACUGCUGAGACACAACCAGCAGUAUACAGGCUCCAGUUGGAAAUCGAGAACUUUCCAGGGCUGUCUGUCACCCAGGCUGGAGUGCAGUGGUGCCAUCACAGCUCACUGCAGCCUCGACCUCCUAGGCUAAAGUGAUCCUCCCAACUCAGCCUCCCAAGUAGCUGGGACUACAGGAAUGUGCCACGCCCAGGUCUAUCCAGCUAAAGUCAAAAAUGCCCCUCUCAGGCUGCCCCCAGUGACUCCAGUUUCCUAGCAGAGCCUAACCAGGUUAAGAAAUUUGUCUAUGGGUGCCUGAACCGAAAGUCAUAUUUCUUUUUACCACAAUGUGCUGCCUUAGAGGAACAAUUGCAUACAAUGGGAUCAAGUGCAUUGUAGGCUCUAUUUAUAACAUGCAUAUGAGAAAGAGAGCCCAUUGAGAUCUGCCUCAAGCUGAAGAUGAAAAGGGGGCCUCUGGAGUCGCUUGAUCGAGCAGAGUCUGAUAGAGUUAUCAGGCUUUUGCAGAUAGAAUGCCUACCAUCGUAGGAUACAUUGUCAUAAUCAGUGUUUAGGCAAAACACCUGGACUUCUGCAGGGAC